Molecule: unclassified non-coding RNA, 287 nt
Filed under: Glomeromycetes sp.
Lineage: Eukaryota; Fungi; Glomeromycota; Glomeromycetes
Description: partial contains 5.8S ribosomal RNA and internal transcribed spacer 2
Rfam family: 5.8S ribosomal RNA (bases 1-65)
Source: RNAcentral
GUUAAUCAUCAAAUCUUUGAACGCAAAUUGCACUCUCCUCGGAGAGUAUGCUUGUUUGAGGGUCAGCCUAUAAAAAUCGACAUCGUUGUUGUUUCGCUGUGGAGUUCGUUGGUAAUUGGGUCAUAUUAAAUCCUUUUGAUUUAAGCGACUUAAAAUUUUAUUUUGGUGACAUGAACGUUGCUAAGAUUUAUUUGUUUACACGUUUAAGGUCUCGUGUUUUAAUAGACGUGACCAUCAUAUCGGAUCGUGUGCAUAAUCUUUCAUUAACCGAACUACGACAGGUAAGA